Molecule: ribosomal RNA, 450 nt
Filed under: uncultured bacterium
Lineage: Bacteria
Description: partial 16S ribosomal RNA
Rfam family: Bacterial small subunit ribosomal RNA
Source: RNAcentral
GUGAGGAAUAUUGGGCAAUGGGCGAAAGCCUGACCCAGCCACGCCGCGUGAGUGAUGAAGGCCUUCGGGUUGUAAAGCUCUGUGGGGAGGGAAGAAAAAGCGGGAGAGUAACUGCUCUCGUGUUGACGGUACCUCCUUAGCAAGCACCGGCUAACUCUGUGCCAGCAGCCGCGGUAAUACAGAGGGUGCAAACGUUGCUCGGAAUUACUGGGCGUAAAGCGCGUGUAGGCUGACAUGCAAGUCGGGUGUGAAAUCCCAGGGCUAAACCUUGGAACUGCACUCGAAACUGCACGUCUUGAGUACUGGAGAGGGAAGCGGAAUUCCGGGUGUAGAGGUGAAAUUCGUAGAUAUCCGGAGGAACACCAGUGGCGAAGGCGGCUUCCUGGACAGUAACUGACGCUGAGACGCGAAAGCGUGGGGAGCAAACAGGAUUAGAAACCCGGGUAGUCC